This 317-nucleotide unclassified non-coding RNA is filed under the name Hevea brasiliensis (rubber tree). Lineage: Eukaryota; Viridiplantae; Streptophyta; Magnoliopsida; Malpighiales; Euphorbiaceae. The record is from RNAcentral.
UGAUCUGCUGGGGGAGCCGCACGGCGGCCGUUGGGAUGUCGUGCUGGCCGGCGAUAUUUUCUACGAACGCGACACCGCGCAGCGCGCGUUCGAUUUCCUUUUCGGCCACGUUGCGCGCGGCGCAACAGUGCUGAUCGGCGACCCCGGCCGCAGCUACCUGCCCCGCGACAAAUUGCGCCGCAUCGCGGACUACAGCGUCCCGGUGACCCGCGAUCUGGAGGACGCCGAAAUCAAGCAAACUGCGGUAUGGAGCCUGCUGCAGCCGGCCUGAAAUCCGGUGUCAUCCCCUUCAUAUCCUUUGGGAAAUCCGAGGUCCG